RNAcentral lists this non-coding RNA (200 nucleotides) under Onchocerca ochengi. Its description in RNAcentral is "Eukaryotic large subunit ribosomal RNA". It matches the Rfam family "Eukaryotic large subunit ribosomal RNA", at positions 977 to 1170 of the family's 3401-position model. The record is from Rfam by way of RNAcentral. Lineage: Eukaryota; Metazoa; Nematoda; Chromadorea; Rhabditida; Onchocercidae.
UAUGGCAAAGAUAGAUGAUAACAAAUUACAUCAAUUUAAAAUUGAAUGAUUAAAGGAAUUGUGGAAUGAAACAUCUUGAAUCUAUUUUCAAACUUUCAAUGAGUACGACGUCAUGCUUGCUUGAAUGAAGCGUAAAUAUUGGAUGUGUGUUCUAAAUGGGCCAUUUUUGGUGAACAGAACUGGUAUUGUAGGAUGAAUCA